AGGUUUUUCAUUUCAUGCUAAGAAGUGAAACUAAGAGGGAACACAGUGUGAAUCUGUGACUGUACCCGCAGCUGUAUUUCCUAUUUUUAGACACACAUUCUAAAAAUGCCACUUUUCUGAUUAAGAUUGGGAAGGCGUGUGUCAGGGAUAAGCCAGAAGACCUGCCUAUGCGGU
Molecule: non-coding RNA, 174 nt
Filed under: bovine gut metagenome
Source: RNAcentral